Molecule: long non-coding RNA, 2926 nt
Organism: Zea mays
Lineage: Eukaryota; Viridiplantae; Streptophyta; Magnoliopsida; Poales; Poaceae
Exons: 2
Source: RefSeq, a predicted model, not a curated record
GAGAGAGAAGAGUAACACCUGAAUUUGGUAGGUAAUUAGAAAGAAAUUUUAUACCCCCAAAUUCAGGGUGUUACACUAGGCGUCCUGUUGGUUCGGAUCACCCUAAGGUCUCUCCCCCAAGGGGCGGGAUCUAGGUCCUACGAGGAGAAGAAGGCGUCCCAACGCCAUCGCGGACCGUUUGACCCAGAGCGUGGACCGUCCGAUCAGCGCAUAGAGAAGACUCGCUCCUGCAGCAGGGUCGCGGACCAUUUGGCCCCAAGCCAUGGAUAGUCCGCGCCAGUGCAGCGAGCAAUGCCCGGCGACCCGUCGCGGACCGCCGCGCCGUCCACCUCGUAGAGCCAAACCUAAGGUAUUGCUCAUCACGUGAAGGUCCUAAGGUUUGUUAUUGUUUGACCCCAAAUAGGUGGUGGCCAUCAUAGAGAUGGUGUCCCACCUUCAGGAUAAUCAUCUUAGGUACAUCAAGUUAUCAUCUCCUUAGUUCGAAGGUUUCUUUUCAAGGCCACAUUCGAGAUAGCUUUAUUUGUCUUACAUCUUAUCUACUAUCUCGCUCUAUAAGGUCUCGACCCUUCGCGGGUGAAACCUAGGAUCAUCCCAAGGUCCGGACUCACUACGAGGGAGACCUAUGGAUCAUUAGUGUUUAGUCCAAAAAGGCGCCAACACACUUUUUGACAACUCUACUGGGGACGAAAGAUCCGAUCCAUUAGAUUAUAUCUAUUAAGUUAGACCUAUUAGAUCGGCCACAAUGGCCGGUCCCAAAGAUCCCAACAAUGUUACCCCACACAACAAUACAAGGCUAACUAACUUACCAACCACUGAGGAUGAGAAAUUAGAAGACCACAUGAAAAGGCUGAACGAGAAGUUCCAACGACAAAAGGCUCAAAUAAGCAAGAUGACAUAAAAGUGAUACCUCUUACACUUCAAAGUAGAUGACCACCUGAAGGUCGUCAAGGAGACGGAAGUAAAGUACAAUUCCAUGUGAGCCUUGCAGCAGCAGCUCCCCAUUAUAAGUAACACCACACCAAUAGCCGAUAUUCAAUAUAUUAAUUUUUUUUGAUAAUCGAAUUAAAAGUAUAAUUGAGGAUAUAGAUAAUAUGACACAUGUAUUAGAAAAACUCAUACACCUAAUUUUUUGUCAUAUGAAUUGGACACUAAAAUAAUUGCGUCAAACACAUCGGCAACAAAUGUGGCUUCUCAGUCCCAACCAUAUUGUUGUUUGCCGAUGAACUCAUAUCCGGGGCAAAUGCUGCCGCCAUCCUCACUAAUUAUUGUGGUAAUUAGACAUGUGCAUUCCGCCACCUGACUGUAGUUUACCUCCGAUAGACUUCUUAACUUGAUUCAUCACUUGUCAAUGAGACAACCAAUCCUAGAACAAUUAACCUACUUAUUCUCUGGCCUUGUGGCCUAUUCAAUCUUGUUAUUUAAGUACAUGAGAACUUUAGUUGUAGAGGGCUAAAAGCGAGUUACUCCUCUCUACCAUCAAAGGGUUAAAGAUUAGUUGACACUAAACGAGACAUAGCUCAUCUUAGGAACACUGCAAAAACACUGGUUUGAAGUAGUAGAUUAGGGGAUAAGAAAAGAAAAAGGCGAGUGAGAGUCUCGUUUUCAAAUGAAUAAAUAAUUCCGAGUGAAAAGUAAUUUCUCAUUUACUUUAGUUCCCUCUUUUGAUUCCAUCAAUUGCUACACCUGCACGAAACCUGUCUCUACCUUCCCGCAUAAAAUAAUAUUUGCUUUGCAGCUUGUAUGCUCUACUGUGUAAAUUCGAUUUGUAGCUGUACCUUGUAUUGUUGUUAGCUGCCCGUAGCUAUUAAGGGCUUGUUUGGAUCCACGGGGAUUUCUUUUCUAUUCAAUUUUGAAUAGCAAGAGAUUUAAUCUCAUCCAAUGCACCUCUAACCGAACAAGCCUUGGAAAGGUUAGGGCUUUUAUCGGAUGAAUUCAAUUUCACAGGGAAAACAUAGCAACAUGGAAAAGUUCCCGCGUUCAAAAAAACAGGGUCUAGAUUGUUUGCAGUUCGUGUUUUUCCUUUUAUUUUUGUUUGUUUGGAUUCUCUAUAUUUUUUUUUCUAUUGUUAUGCAUCCUUUAGCCAAAUAUCAUCUUAAACAAAAGAUGGACCAAGCCAAGAGCUAACAGUUCUGUGUCUUGUAGGUGCAGAGGCAUCUUCUGACCAAUGAAAAUGGUGAAACCAGGUAGAGUAUCUGACUCAAAGAUAACAACGUUUACAUGCAGAUACAAGACAACAAUAUCAUUGUUCUCUGAACACACAUGACCUCCAUUGGUAAAACUGAAAUCGAACCACGCCACAGAAAUACAUAGUGCUCUAGGCAAAUGCAAGAGGAUUCAUUAUUCAUCUGUGGUUGUGCUCAGUGAUCAAUACUCUUGUUCAUCCUCCUCCAGUGACCCAGCCUGUGAUGUCUUCUCGUGGUCAUUCUCAAGCUGGCUGAAGUUCCCCUUCUCCUUGAUCAGCUGGAUGUGGUGGUGCUUGCAGUACAGCUUCCCCUCGUGCGCAAUGUAGUUAGAAGGGCUGAUGGUGCACCCUCCAUGGCAGCACUUGAAGCAGCUCUUGUGGUACAUAGUGUUAUUAACAGUGACCUGGAUGCUUAACCGGUUGUCAAGUGAAGAAGGCUCAAACUACCGGAAGAAUGAUUGAGAUGGUUGAACACAGAAUCUUACCCUCUCAGUUGGAUAGACUGUCUUGCUGCAUCCAACACAUUUCUCUCUGGUGCCAGCAAAGGCGCUUGAGACUUUAGUAGCAUUCUGCCAAAUAAUAUGCAAUCAUGAUGAGCAUCAUCUAGUGCCAGUUGUUCAUAAAGAACAAAACAUGAAUGGUGUCAACUGGAUGGGUGAUAUGAAACAUGUUUAAAACCAUAUACAGCACUGAUCUAGUCAUAUACCUCAUGAAUAUCAAGUUUUUUUUUUGUGAUCUGUUAAA